GUCUGCUCUAUAUCCUGAGAACUGUUAUGAUUUCAAAGUUUAUACCUGACAUGUAUAUUAACCAACAUCAAAGGGUGUAUCAUAAUGUAUGUACAGCUUCCUAGGUCAAGGGUCAAGGUCAAAACAUUUUGUUUCAGUUGACAACCCCAAGUCCUCCGGUAAAGAUGCAAAUUUUUUACCAGACGUUUUUCACAGCUGGCC
RNAcentral lists this long non-coding RNA (201 nucleotides) under Mytilus galloprovincialis (Mediterranean mussel). The record is from RNAcentral. Lineage: Eukaryota; Metazoa; Mollusca; Bivalvia; Mytilida; Mytilidae.